GUGCUUUUCUUCCCCCCGGGUGUAAGUAGCCAGAGGAAUUAGUACCCUCCCCCCUACUAGAAAUACAUUCAUGCAACAACCCCUCGCCUAUAUAUUCCAAAUAUUGUGUCAACAUGAAGUAUUCGUAGUUACGCCAACACUGAACGUAGGCUCGCGUUGCCACGUCAUGUUAGUCAUGGCAACACGAUAAUUGUUUUUUAAUUUUUGGUACAAACCGGGAAAAAAUAGAUGAAAUUUGAACACUUUUAAAUGCAGAACUAUCAAUUUCUAAAAUAUAUAAAGUAGGUAUAAUAUGUCUAAUGUCACAGGCAACAACAAAAUCCCCCUAGUAUUAAACUAUCAUCCUUUCAAUUUCAAAGUUAGAGAUGUCAUCAACAAGAAUUUCCAUAUUUUGAAAAACGACCCUGAAACAUCUUCCAUUUUCUCCGAUAACCCCUUAGUCUCUUUUCGACACAGCAAAAAUAUCCGUGAAACCCUUGUCCAUAGCUCCCUAACACAGGCUUUGACGUCACAGAAAGGCACUUUUCCUUGCCUGUCGUCGAAAUGUAAAACCUGUGAUUUUAUAGAUUCCACCACUAUUG
Non-coding RNA from Paramuricea clavata, 581 nucleotides. The record is from the annotation of a GenBank genome assembly. NCBI's taxonomy places the organism in Eukaryota, Metazoa, Cnidaria, Anthozoa, Malacalcyonacea, Plexauridae.